RNAcentral lists this ribosomal RNA (440 nucleotides) under uncultured bacterium. Its description in RNAcentral is "partial 16S ribosomal RNA". It matches the Rfam family "Bacterial small subunit ribosomal RNA", at positions 338 to 795 of the family's 1533-position model. The record is from RNAcentral.
CCUACGGGAGGCAGCAGUGGGGGAUAUUGCACAAUGGGGGAAACCCUGAUGCAGCGACGCCGCGUGUGGGAAGACGGUCCUCUGGAUUGUAAACCACUGUCCCCAGGGACGAAGAUGACGGUACCUUGGGAGGAAGCUCCGGCUAACUACGUGCCAGCAGCCGCGGUAAUACGUAGGGAGCGAGCGUUGUCCGGAAUUACUGGGUGUAAAGGGAGCGUAGGCGGGACUGCAAGUUGGGUGUCAAAUCUACCGGCUCAACCGGUAGCCGCACUCCAAACUGCAGUUCUUGAGUGAAGUAGAGGCAGGCGGAAUUCCUAGUGUAGCGGUGAAAUGCGUAGAUAUUAGGAGGAACACCAGUGGCGAAGGCGGCCUGCUGGGCUUUUACUGACGCUGAGGCUCGAAAGUGUGGGGAGCAAACAGGAUUAGAUACCCCAGUAGUC